Molecule: long non-coding RNA, 954 nt
Organism: Cucurbita maxima (winter squash)
Lineage: Eukaryota; Viridiplantae; Streptophyta; Magnoliopsida; Cucurbitales; Cucurbitaceae
Exons: 2
Source: RefSeq, a predicted model, not a curated record
GCAUAUUUGGGCUUCUAAUUGUGGGAAGUUUAGGCCAAUUUAUAGCUGAAUCAGAUCGUAAUCAAAUCCCUGAUUCUCCUACCGACAAAAUUUGGUAAAGAAAAUAGUACAAGAAUGGAAGCAAUGUAAAUCCCACUAAAGGUAGAUCUUGUUUGGAGGGCACAGCAUUGAUGUACAGUUUUUAAAAAAUGGCUGUCCCACAUUUCUCCCAGCAGUAAAACAGAGUGUCAACAGGUGCUAUCAGUACUUCCCACCGCCCAUGAAGUCAAAUAUCAGGCGGUGUGCAAUGAGGACACUGACCUCCAAAGGGUUUGGAUUGUGAGAUGCCACAUCGGCUGAAAAGAAGAGCGAAGCAUUUUUCUUUUAACCUUGAAAGGAAACUCGAAAGAAAAAUCUCAAAUAGAACAAUAUCUACAGUAGACUUGUGAAUCACAUUAUAUUAUGCUUCUAUCCAAUCAUAAAUAGAACCUUAUGCAUUGAAAAAAUUAAAAAAUCGACUAUAUAAUACAAGGAAGAUGGUCAGUGAAACUAGUUUCAACUAUUUUAAACUGAUAGGUCAAAUCAAGAGAGAUGCACCUAAAUAGACCCACUAACAUGCUAACAAGGCAUGAAGCCAAUCCCCAACUUCAGGAAACAUCACUGUCUUAAAACCUUCAAUUUAUCUGAACACAACUCUCAUUCAUUGCAUCACCUGCGAGCAUUAAAAGCCUUAUUCAUUAAACAACGCAUGGAUACAUCCACAUCAUGCCUUCAAACUGAAAGAUAUUGUCUCCCUCUCUGUGCUGUAGUGGAAGGGAUUACAGUAACCAUUAUUCAGAGUUCAUCACAGAGUUCCAAGUCCUCUCUCCAAAUACUUAUUUGAUUCUCAACCAAAUAUUUCUACACUGUAUAUCAUUGCAUGAAUUGCCAAAAAUUUCAGGUGUUAUAACCCUGUUAGGUCUGCGAAAGAAAAAA